CUAAGGCCACCACCCUGAGCACGCCCGAUCUCGUCUGAUCCCGGAAGCUAAGCAGGGUCGGGCCCGGUUAGUGCUUGGAUGGGAGAAAUACAGCUGUCCCUUGGU
Molecule: ribosomal RNA, 105 nt
Filed under: Microcebus murinus (gray mouse lemur)
Lineage: Eukaryota; Metazoa; Chordata; Mammalia; Primates; Cheirogaleidae
Source: RNAcentral